RNAcentral lists this ribosomal RNA (495 nucleotides) under uncultured Massilia sp. RNAcentral describes it as "bacterial SSU rRNA". It matches the Rfam family "Bacterial small subunit ribosomal RNA", at positions 17 to 507 of the family's 1533-position model. The record is from RNAcentral. Lineage: Bacteria; Pseudomonadati; Pseudomonadota; Betaproteobacteria; Burkholderiales; Oxalobacteraceae.
UCCUGGCUCAGAUUGAACGCUGGCGGCAUGCUUUACACAUGCAAGUCGAACGGCAGCGCGGGGCAACCUGGCGGCGAGUGGCGAACGGGUGAGUAAUAUAUCGGAACGUACCCAAGAGUGGGGGAUAACGUAGCGAAAGUUACGCUAAUACCGCAUACGAUCUAAGGAUGAAAGUGGGGGAUUCGCAAGAACCUCAUGCUCCUGGAGCGGCCGAUAUCUGAUUAGCUAGUUGGUGAGGUAAAGGCUCACCAAGGCUACGAUCAGUAGCUGGUCUGAGAGGACGACCAGCCACACUGGAACUGAGACAUGGUCCAGACUCCUACGGGAGGCAGCAGUGGGGAAUUUUGGACAAUGGGCGCAAGCCUGAUCCAGCAAUGCCGCGUGAGUGAAGAAGGCCUUCGGGUUGUAAAGCUCUUUUGUCAGGGAAGAAACGGUGGGGGCUAAUAUCCUCCACUAAUGACGGUACCUGAAGAAUAAGCACCGGCUAACUACGUG